RNA transcript from Ictalurus punctatus (channel catfish), 4075 nucleotides. It is a transcript of the gene named protein tyrosine phosphatase non-receptor type 12, with no coding region annotated. Lineage: Eukaryota; Metazoa; Chordata; Actinopteri; Siluriformes; Ictaluridae. The record is from RefSeq and is a predicted model, not a curated record. The transcript is spliced from 18 exons.
UUCUGAGUUUAGUUGGUAAUGUGGCAGUGUGGAGGCAGGGAGGGGUGAACCGAUGGUUGUAGAUGUGUAUAUACACAUACAUACUGUGUAUAUAUAUAUAUAUAUUAUAUAUACACACACACAACAACAACAACAACAGAACAGUAACCGACGUGCUGCGGUGAAAGCGGAGAUACUCACAGCUGAUGCGUGUUCAUCCGGGAGUACAGAGGAGCAUGGAUCCAUAAAGAUGUUGGAAUUAAUCGUCGUGAAGAUAUUUAUUUAAUUUAUUUUUCUAUAUAUAUAUAUAUACACAGAGAUUUUUUUGUACUUUUAUAUUUUGUACCUACGUCUCGGCCUGUGCGCCGAUAUUCAGGGACUUGUGAGGAUGGAUCAGGCGAAUAUCUUGAGGAAGUUCAUUCAGGGGGUUCACGCCAUGCGAUCCGGGGAACAGAGAGGAGAGGAUAACUUCGGCUCGGACUUCAUGAGAUUACGCAGAUUAUCGACCAAAUACAAGACGGAAAAAAUCUAUCCCACUAACGUCGGCGAGAGAGAAGAAAACGUGAAAAAGAACCGAUAUAAAGACAUCCUGCCGUUCGACCACAGUCGAGUGAAAGUGACAUUAAAAACAUCCAAUCAGGACACGGAUUACAUCAACGCAAACUUCAUUAAGGGAGUGGAUGGGCCUGAGGCCUACAUUGCCACACAGGGUCCGUUACCCAACACGGUCCUCGACUUCUGGAGGAUGAUCUGGGAGUACCACGUCGCAGUGAUCGUUAUGGCGUGUCGGGAGUUUGAGAUGGGCAGGAAAAAAUGUGAGCGGUACUAUCCCCAGUUUGGAGACGAGCCCACGUCCUUUGGCCCUUUCAGGAUCUCCUGUGAAUCGGAACAAGCUCGAACCGACUAUUACAUCCGUAGCUUAACAGUGGAGUUUGACAACGAUUCUCGUAGAAUAACCCAAUUCCAUUACAUCAACUGGCCAGACCACGAUGUUCCCUCAUCGUUCGACUCGAUAUUGGACAUGAUCGCGCUGAUGAGGGAGUACCAGGAGCACGAUGAGGUUCCUGUCUGCGUACACUGCAGUGCUGGAUGUGGGAGAACAGGUGCUAUUUGUGCCAUUGACUAUACAUGGAACCUGCUGAAAACUGGGAGAAUUCCUGAGGAUUUUAACGUCUUUCAAUUGAUUCAGGAGAUGCGGACGCAGAGGCACUCGGCCGUUCAGACGAAGGAGCAGUACGAGUUGGUCCAUAGAGCUAUCGCUCAACUUUUUGAGAAGCAGCUGUUGCUGCUGGAGAGUCCUACGAAUUCAGAGCUGACAGAUGGCAUGGAUGAAGGCAGUCCAGAAAAACCCAGCCAGAAUUCGGAUGAGGACCAGUGGGACACGCCUCCACCCAAACCACCGCGUAUUCGGAGUUCUCAGGUUGAGGGCGAGGUCCAAGAGGAAAUCCUGCAGGCCCCCGAGCCUCGGCCAGUGCCACCCAUCCUCACUCCGUCACCGCCUUCAGCGUUCCCCACGGUGAGCGAUGUGCGCCAGGAGAACGAUCGCUACCACCCCAAACCCGUGCUGCACUUGCUGGCUUCUGAACACGAACCUGACCUCAACGAGAACUACAGCGGGGGCCCACAGGGAGUGCCUGCCUCUGUGUCUGCCCCUUCCCCUCCAGAGUCCAAUAGACACACCCCUCUGAGUGUGGAGAUCAAGAAAGUGCCCUUGCAGGAGGGGCCGCGUAGUUUCGAGAGCAGUAGUGCCCUGCAACGAACGCAUGCUUUCAAAGUGCGCACCAAUAACAGCUCUCUGUCACAGGAUUCAGAAAACCCGCCCCGCCCUGACCACUUGCCUCUGCGCACCAACAAGGGCCAAGCGGGACGGACACGCUCUUCGAACACCACGCCCGUCUCCAGCAUGACCUCUGGCCCCACCCUUGAGGGUGCGGGUGCGCCCGUCAGGACCGCUCUGAGCUUCACCAACCCACUGCACUCAGACCACUCGGACCCAGAGCCCGAGGACGGCGAGGUCUCCCUGCUCGUUUCCCAUCACACUGAUUCCAAGUCUAGCGCGUCCACCACAGUGACCGGCAAAGUGUCAGCAGCACCCCACGAUGACACCGUCCCCAGGAAGGUUACCUUAAUGUCCAUAGUUGGUGUUUGCUCAAAGGCAGAUGCAGAGACAGACAGUGACGAGAGUGAAGACUCGCCUCCCCCUCUUCCCGAAAGAACCCUUGAGUCCUUCUUUUUGGCCACAGAUCCCGCGGAUGUGCAGGUGGAGCCGAAUGAAUGCACAGGAGCGUUAGGCGACGCCUCCCUCCAGCGAGCUCCAAACACACAAACCAAACAUCAGUCAGGAAGAGGGCAGGAGAACGGGAAGCACUCGGACACGGGGACCGUCAGCAAAGCAGACGCCAGAACGGGGUCCGAGACACUUUCACAGAUGAGUGAGUGGGUCCGACGCAUUCACGCGCGAGCCGUACGUCGGUGCCGGGAAGCCGCGGGUUCACCAGCGGAAUACGUCUAGGUCCUGUCGGUCGUCACGGAGCGACGCGUUCGAGCGCGGUCUCCACCCGCAGUUGCCUUGGAAUCCAGAUACAGCGCUUUUUCUGCGUGGAUUUGGCAACCGCUGCACACAACCCAAAGGCCCGAGAAACCCUCCAUCCGAGUGGACAUGAUCGAGGGCCUGCAGCAGUUUGACCCUAAACGCACCAUCACGUACACACAGACGUAACAUCACCGCUCCCCCGUCCUCUACGCGUUCUCGGAGAAAGAGGUCCAGAGCCUGAAUCUCUCGGCACCACGCACGCUUCGUUUCCAACAAAACAAUCGGUCAGGAUAGGACCAUUCAGAUAAUCUUCCAUGCUGCGGUCGCACUCGCCCGGUGCUCGACCGCCGUGGGCUCGCUGCAACGGUGCUACCUUUCCUCCUCGCCGGGACCACAAUCUGUUUCUAUUUCCCUCUAGCAAAAAACGACGCGGGAUUGGACGGCCCCAAACGUACAACGCAUUGCUGUCCUGGAACUCCGUCAUCUCUUUUCUAUACAGUUUGUGACUUCUAUGACAAUUCAAUACGAUAUAUACACACACACACACACACCCCCACACACCCCCACAGGGACCGAGAACUACUGUCUGUUUGUUUCUUCAUUUAUAUUUUGCUUUUUUCCUCCCUCGCUAACUCCUUGAUAGUCCUAUAUGCAUCGUUUUAUAGGUGUACAGAAUGUGUUAUUGCUAAAUAUUCUUAAUAACAGAAGAUGUAAGAAGUCUGUGCAUGAUGCCCCCAUGUACUGUGACCUGUAAAUUAUUUGCUCCUGUUAUCACAAUCCCCCCUGCCCCUCCCCCUCCCACUCCCCUUUUUUCCUUUUCAGUGUUUAUAGUUUGUUUUCCAAAGGUUAGCUGUUUUAUUGGCUAUUUCCUGAGAUCUCAUGGGCUCAAGAUUGUAAUAAUGCUUUUUGUAAAUUGUAUUCCAAAGGUUAUUUUUGUAUAUUCUCUUUUUAUUUCUUCCUCCUACCCCCCCCCCCCCCCCAUUAACCCCGUAUCACUGGCCUCCGAGCCUCACUGUGCCUUUUUGCAUGCCCUUCCUGUCGUGUGUGUGUGUGUGUGUGUGUGUGUGUGUGUGUGUGUGUGUGUGUGUGUGAGAGAGUGUGAGAGAGAGAGAGACUGAGACUGUGUGUGUGUGUGAUUGAAAGAGGGAUUUACAGCAUCGCAUUCGCGCCUCUGGGAUCUUUCUCAACAACCCUGUUAAUAUGUUGCAUAAACCAAUCAACUUCUCAGUAAAAAAAAAAAAAAAAAAGACAUGAAGAGGAAUGUACUGCUUUGGCUCGUCUUAUUUGUCAGUAAUAACCGGUGGGUGUAAAAACGACAUGGCUUUAAAAAAACAAAGUGUUUAUUAGCCCCACUGUGAAAUCGAAUUUCUCUCAAACACACCGCGCCGGUAUAGAGCCGAUCGGAACACAUCAGCACCUGUGGGAAGCGUGUGAUGAGUGUUGGAUAAGAACAGUGUGUACAGGAGAACUGAAUGGUGUAAUUGUGCAAACCUGAGCAGAAAGAACUGUGGAACUGGGAUUUUUUUUUUUCUCACUAUUAUAAACAAUGCACUGCUUUCCGAA